CCUCUUCUCUGCUUUCAGCAGUCUCGUCGCAGCUACAUCAAACACACCCGAGACGCAAACAGCUUCCCUGGUGACUUUGACAUGAUAGGAAGGUGCCCGGGAGAAUCCUCAUCAGGUGAGGUGUCCCCAUAACUCACUUUGAAUCGGAAAACACUGUUUAAAAAAAGAAGAAGAAAAGAAGAAAAAAAGAAGCCCUGGGGUGAAGAAAGGAAAAAUCUGAGAAAUGCCGCUUGCCCUGUUUACACUGUCUUUAAACCAUUCAUUACUGCCACUGGUCCUGAAGACCGAAUUCCAGCCCGCUGGUUCUCAUCACUGCUGCGGAUCUUUCCUGUCCCAAAGUCUUCAGGAACAAAUUCCAAAGUAGGGCUAACUCUAAGUUAAAAAUCAAAUCACAGCCAUCUACUCAACCAUCUUCAGCGAUUACUCAGGAAGGCGUAGGUUCAAAGCGCCUUUGACUAGAGAUCCGUGGGUCACAGUGUAAAACAUUCCCGCAGCCUUACACACACACACUCAAACACACAGGUUAACUGUAUUAUAGACUAUUUACCCCGUCUGAUUUGUCCCAAACUCUCUGUUUCACUUCUCUCUUUUGCUCUUUGCAGUGCUGGGGAUUAAACCCGGGGCCUCAUGUAUCCCAGGCAGAGCUAGCUAAACCAGUCUCAGCCCUCAAAAUUCUCAUAUUAAUAUGUAACCCAUGGAAAAAUUAUUACUAAUCUAUUUUUCUAUUGUUGUGUCAGGCCUUCAGAAUCCAGUGAGUUAUUUUACACUUAUAGUGCACCUCAGUUGGAACACUCAAGUUUCUGAUACCAAAAUGAAACAUCCUUUUUCUUUUCUUUUCUUUUUUUCCCCAAUGCUGGGUACUGAAUAUAGGGCCUUGCAUAUGCAUGCUAGUCAAGUGCUCUACCACUGAGCUGUAUUCCCAGCCUGAAAUGCCCUUUUAAAAUGAUAACUAUAGGGGCUGGAGAGAUGGCUCAGCGGUUAAGAACACUGGCUUCUCUUCCAGAGGACCCAGGUUCAAUUCCCAGCAACCACAACUCACAGCAGCUCACAACUGUCUGUAACUCUAGUUCCAGGGCAUUUGACACCCCCCCCCCCCCCCACACACACACACACACAUGCAGGCAAAACACCAAUGCACAUAAAAUAAAAAGAAAGAAAAAGGAAAGAAAAUGACAACAGCAGGGGCUGGAGAGACGGCUCAGCUCAGAGGUUAAGAACACUGGGUGAGUUCACUUGUCUUGAACCCAGUGACCUAAGUUUCAUCACCUGGACCCACAUGAUGGACAAUAGCUUCUGAAAGUUGUCUUCUCUCUCUCUCUCUCUCUCUCACACACACACACACACACACACACACACACACACACACACACACUAUGGUAUGAGUGUGCCACCCCACAGACAAAUAAAUCUGAAUGUAAUGAUAAUAGUAACAACUGUGUUACAAAAAUGUUUUACAUUACUGUACACACACACACACACACACACACACACACACACACACACACCCUGCCCAACACAAUCUCACAGGGCUGGUCUGGAAUUCACAACUACUUGUCCCUAGUACACCACUCUGCCCAGCUACUUCUACUCUACACACUGCUUUAGUUUCUUCCACCAUAUUGCCUGUUUUUACAUAUGAAUUUGAAUAAAAAUUGAAUGAACUUG
Peromyscus californicus insignis is the source of this 1665-nucleotide long non-coding RNA. RefSeq lists it as uncharacterized. NCBI's taxonomy places the organism in Eukaryota, Metazoa, Chordata, Mammalia, Rodentia, Cricetidae. The transcript is spliced from 2 exons. The record is from RefSeq and is a predicted model, not a curated record.